Molecule: ribosomal RNA, 221 nt
Filed under: uncultured bacterium
Lineage: Bacteria
Description: partial 16S ribosomal RNA
Rfam family: Bacterial small subunit ribosomal RNA
Source: RNAcentral
UGAGGAACAUGACCUUCGGCGGGGGAUAGCCGGCCCAACGGCCGGGUAAUACCGCGUACGACCACUCGGGGACAUCCCCAGGUGGUGAAAGCAGCAAUGCGCCGAUGGAGUGCCUCGCGGCCUAUCAGCUAGUUGGUGAGGUAACGCUCACCAAGGCGACGACGGGUANCUGGUCUGAGAGGAUGGCCAGCCACAUUGGGACUGAGACACGGCCAGACUCC